This 105-nucleotide microRNA precursor is filed under the name Canis lupus familiaris (dog). Its description in RNAcentral is "mir-8834 microRNA precursor family". It matches the Rfam family "mir-8834 microRNA precursor family". The record is from Rfam by way of RNAcentral. Lineage: Eukaryota; Metazoa; Chordata; Mammalia; Carnivora; Canidae.
UGGAGGAACAACCCCAGUGGCGGGGCCAGCUCUGGAGCCCUGGAGUCAGCUCCCGCAGUAACUCCGGAGCUCUCGGUCUGCAGGGCCUGGAGGCUCCGGGGCGGG